GCCCGCUUAGCUCAGUGGUAGAGCGCGUCACUUGUAAGACUGGUCAUGAUGAGGUCGGUUGUUCAAUCCAGCCAGUGGGCA
Boletus reticuloceps is the source of this 81-nucleotide non-coding RNA. The record is from the annotation of a GenBank genome assembly. NCBI's taxonomy places the organism in Eukaryota, Fungi, Basidiomycota, Agaricomycetes, Boletales, Boletaceae.